GGCUAGCUCCGUGGUUAGAGCACCAGCCUCUUGACCUCGGGUUCGUUGGAUCGAGCCCGCCCGCCG
Molecule: transfer RNA, 66 nt
Filed under: Trichomalopsis sarcophagae
Lineage: Eukaryota; Metazoa; Arthropoda; Insecta; Hymenoptera; Pteromalidae
Description: tRNA-OTHER
Source: RNAcentral